This 253-nucleotide ribosomal RNA is filed under the name uncultured bacterium. RNAcentral's name for it is "partial 16S ribosomal RNA". It matches the Rfam family "Bacterial small subunit ribosomal RNA", at positions 524 to 776 of the family's 1533-position model. The record is from RNAcentral.
UACGUAGGGGGCGAGCGUUGUCCGGAUUUAUUGGGCGUAAAGAGCGUGUAGGCGGUUCGGUAAGUCUGGCGUGAAAUCCUGAGGCUCAACCUCGGGCGUGCGAUGGAUACUGCCGGGUUAGAGGGUGGUAGAGGCGAGUGGAAUUCCCGGUGUAGCGGUGAAAUGCGCAGAUAUCGGGAGGAACACCAGUAGCGAAGGCGGCUCGCUGGGCCACACCUGACGCUGAGACGCGAAAGCUAGGGGAGCGAACAGG